Non-coding RNA from Acanthosepion pharaonis, 110 nucleotides. Lineage: Eukaryota; Metazoa; Mollusca; Cephalopoda; Sepiida; Sepiidae. The record is from the annotation of a GenBank genome assembly.
UAGCCAUAUCAUGUUGAAACACCAGUUCUCGUAUGAUUACUGAAGUUCAGCAAUGUUGAGCCUGGUCAGUACCUAGAUGGGUGACCACUUGUGGAUACCAGUGCUGUAAG